Molecule: long non-coding RNA, 3700 nt
Organism: Daphnia pulex (common water flea)
Lineage: Eukaryota; Metazoa; Arthropoda; Branchiopoda; Diplostraca; Daphniidae
Exons: 10
Source: RefSeq, a predicted model, not a curated record
GUUCACUUCAUGUCGUCUAGUCCCUCAUUCACGUCAUUACACAUUCAAGACUGUCGAGGACAAUAAUCUCUCCAGAGAAGCAGUCAGACUUAGUAAGAGAAGAUGACUCAAAUGAGAUAUACCAUUCAAGGAUUGGUAAUACCAUUUGUGCUGGUAUUCUACUUACUUUCUCCUACCUUCUAUGGCUCAACCUUUUGUUUUGUUCAUCGGACCUUACCAGGAAGUCAACGGUCUAGUGGUGGAAUCCGUUGAAACGCUUCAUUCAGAAACGAAGGAAUUAGCUUUAUUUGAAUGUCGUGCGUCCAGCAGAACCCCUUUGUGGCGAAUAGAAUGAAAAGAUCCACGUCCAAUGUGAUUCUCAAGACGUUGCCGUAGUUGGAGCAAUGUAGGCGUGGAUUUCUGUCGCCCACGAUAGGUCAACAACAACUGGUAUCAAAUGGACACGUCUGAAUAAACUUGCUAUUCGUAUACCCUUCUCGGGAUUCAUUUGUGCGCUAGCUGCACUCGACGAGUAGCCUACCGACCUUUUGGAAACGUGUGAGUAACUUCAUGAUUCUAUACAAUAGCUACCCACGUGUUUCUUCUCCCGUUCCGACAGAUACUACAGGACAAUUGCAUCCCGUCAAGUUGUCUGCAACUAUUUUCAAGAUGACAGUACUAUUGCUCUUUCGUAGAAUGUUUCAAUGGAGUGGGAGUUACUUGAGCUUGGUGUCAGGUGUCGGAGGAAUCUUCUGAUUGCUUCUGAUUUUUUCACACCAUUGUCAGGUGUUUGUUGGGUUGGCGUGUUCUGUAAAGUUUUGAUGUAUGCAUUCGCCAAAUUCAAGAUCGCUGUUUACAGUGAAACCAAUAUAAACCGACAGAAUUGUGCGUCUCCAGGCGAUCGCGACUUAAGGAGCAAUACUGGGUUUGGUUAUUAUAAACUUGUCGCCAUCCUAAGAAAUCAAUUAUAAGAAAUCAAUUAUUGUACCCGAUAUAUAAACAAUAUCUAAACAAAAAAUGUUAAAUUGAAAAAGUUCAACUGGAUUAAAAUAGUGAAGCGAAUUUCAUUAAUAAAUAUUCGUGAUUUUGUUAUUAUUAAAUGUUUUAUUUGGGAUAUUGUUUAUCUUUUCCUUAGUACGAUUAUCAAGCGAUUCGAGUUUAAACUUUCUCCCUUUAACCGACGAAUAAUCGACAUGUCAUAUUGGUUAGGUAAAGUUGUGAAACAAUGUUAAUAGUUUAUAUGAUUACUCAGUUACCAUCCAAUUAAUUUUUUCACAUCUAGGGCUGUUAGAUACUAGUGAAGAUUUAUGUUAACUUACGGUGAAUGGACGAUAUUCGAUAUCGAUAUCGAAUAGACUGGAUCCAGUCUCUUACUACAGGAUUUUCUUACAGGUGAAAUGCACUUUGAUUAGCAAAUUAGGUAACGUGUUCUAUUAUUCAUAUCUAGUGCUGUUUUGUGUAUUGGUCAAUAGUCAUUAUAUCUAAUCGAUGUGCCUUAAUUAUCCUUUAAACGAAUUCAAGAGAUAUUCCACUCUCGUCCACUCUUGAACCUUCCGCGAACACAACGAUGCCGCUAAUUAACUUUCUCUAACUAGGAUGUGUGGCAACUGGAAAACUACAGCGAAAAUUUCAAGAAAUUAAUAGUCUACUGUCAGCUGAAAGACGGGGAAAGGUAUCCAGAAGUUCAUCAUUCAUGACAAGAGGCAGAUCUAUUAAAAGAAAAUCAAAUUUUCUGUACAAGAACUUUAGUGAACAUACGCAACUUUAUACAGCUCAUCAAUUGCCGUUUCGUCGAAAGUAAUUAAUAGAAUGAACAAAAGGGUGUCAUUAUUGCUUCGUAGGAUUUCAGGUAAAGGUGAUGUAGACUAGCAUGACAUUUAAUUAUCCUUUCUUGUUUACUUACAAUAAGAGCAAAAAGCUAUGGGAUGGAUUAUAAUCUGGGAGCAAUUUUUGUUGUAAUAAGCGUGCAGGUUGCAAGUGCAGGUUACAAGUUCCUUAUCAUUGUGUAAUUCCAUUGGUAAACAUAAAACAAUUAAUUCAAGUAUUUAAUCGUUACUGUAUUUUGAGUUAGCUAUAAAUAAUGUUAUCGCGUAGAAAAAUGUAUCGGCUCAAUGGUCUAGGGGUAUGAUUCUCGCUUUGGGUGCGAGAGGUCCCGGGUUCAAAUCCCGGUUGAGCCCAAAUCUAUUUUUACUUGUUUAUUUUUUAAAUUCCUGCUCAUACGUUCGAAGUCAUUAUACGAAACUACAGCUAAUUCAUAUAAUCGUUUUUGACAGUAAGGGUAAGAUCAGUGAUGCUUAGAAAAAGCCAGAUAAAAUUAUUUAAAACUUAGACAAGAGUUUUUACUUUGUUGCAUGUUUGUCUUGAUUGAUGCUUCCAGUUAAAUGAACUAGCGAAUUUAAAAAUUCAAAUGUUUUAUCCGUUUAGUUAUUCGUCAAUGCGAUUAUGCUAAGCCUUUGUAAAAUUGCAUCUUAAGUUCUUAACCGGUCUUAAAAAUAAUAAUAAUAACACAAAUAAAAAAGUAGGUCAACGGCAAGUGGCCCUUUUUUGAAGUGGGUUUUCUUUCCGUUUAGAAAGCGCAAGCCGUUUGGAUAGUCCCAUAAGCUCGUGUAUAAAAACAAUUAGAAUAAUUAACAUUAUUGAUGAAUCAUGAAUUCUUAUAAUAUACAUAAUGUUUCCAAAUGCCGAGUGUUUCGCCCCGUUAUUUUGUUUUGUCCUUGUCUUUUCGCUCGAAUCAGUCUGUAAUUUACUGGUUUGUUUAAAGUUGAACGAAAAUGGAAUUUAUCUUGUUCUCUAUCGCUGUUAGGUCGUCUCCAAUGUAAAUUUCCCCCCUUUAUUGUGUCUUUAAUUUAAGUUUGGUUCGUGCAACGGUUGAAGAAAUUCAAUUAUUUAACCAUUGCUCACAUUGUUUAUACCUUAACUUUCAUCCAAACAUUCAUCGGCUCGAUGGUCUAGGGGUAUGAUUCUCGCUUAGGGUGCGAGAGGUCCCGGGUUCAAAUCCCGGUCGAGCCCACUGAUGUUUUUAUCUUUUACUUGCUACAAUAUUCAAUGUAAUUCAUUCUCAUGUCAGUCAUAUUUGUUUAGGAUCAGUACAGCUAUUUUCAUCAAGGAAGAGCUACACUAAUGGUAAGCGCGUAGUAUCACGGCCAAAGGAUCUCUUUUUUCGUAACGUGCACCGUUUAUCAGUCGAUUCUUAAGACAAUCCGCUGAUUUUUCGUUAUUAGUUAUUUUUAUGUUGAAUCGAUGAUUUAGGAACUGGUAACAUACAAGGAUCCUGAAAAGCAUUUAAUUGAACGCAUAAUUAUGUCGCUUACGUUGGUAUUCCACAUCAAACUCGCUCUACACUCAACAAGUGGUGACUUUUCGUUCCUUUUUUUGUUCUUCUACUUAGGUUAAUAAGAAACAUUAAAUUAGGGUCUAACGAUUAACUACAACCAUUUUCAAAACGUUUUUACGGAAUUUUCAAUCAUUUUACAUGAUACGCUUGGAGAACCGUGGAGAACUUAAAGUGCCUUGACAAAAUAAGCAGCGCCAUAGCUUGUUGCACAUGUUCCAUCUUUAAUUUCUUUACAUAUACUUUACUUUGUUCGACUUUGUUACUUCUCUUCUUGUGAUGAGAAAUUCAGGUCAUUUAUAAAGAAAAUUAUGGAAUAAGAACAUUGGCAUCAUUUAAAUUUUAAAGUGAAAGUUGCCUGUCAGCACUUGUGUAUCAGUGGGAAAUACA